GAUCUAUUUCGUUAUGGAAUACGUGAAAGGAGGCGAAUUAUUCAACCAGAUCUCCAGUAAAAGCCGAUUCACUGAGGAUCUCAGCCGGAAAUGCUUUCAGCAAUUGAUUUCCGCGGUUAAUUACUGUCAUUCACGUGGAAUUUACCAUCGCGAUUUGAAACCUGAGAAUGUUCUAAUUGACGAAAAUGGAGAUCUGAAAGUUUCCGAUUUCGGGCUUAGUGCUACAACGGAUCAAAUUCAAUCAUUCGACGGGCUUCUACAUACGGUUUGCGGAUCUCCGGCGUAUGUAGCACCGGAGGUUUUGACGAUUAAAGGAUACGACGGAGCUAAAACAGAUAUCUGGUCAUGUGGAAUUAUGCUAUUCGUGAUGAUCGCCGGUUACUUCCCGUUCUACGAUCAGAAUCUGAUGUUAAUGUACAAAAAAAUCUACAAAGGCGAAUUCCGGUGCCCGAAAUGGAUCUCUCCGGACGGUAAGCGGAUUCUAUCUCGUCUUCUGGAUGUAAAUCCGGCGACCAGAAUUACGAUCGAAGAAAUCAUCAGAGAUCCAUGGUUCAGAAAGGGAUUGAAAUUUAUCAAAUUCUCAGAAGAGGAAGAAAAUAGUAAGAUAAAUUCGUUAACAAAUUCUCUGAAUGCGUUUGAUAUAAUUUCGUUCUCCCAGGGAUUAGACAUUUCUGGAUUGUUCAAAUCGAACAAUCCGGUGGAUGAUUUGGAGAGGAUAGUGGUGGAAGAGUCGCCGGAGAGUGUAAUUGAGAGAAUUGAAGAGGUAGGGAAGAAGGAGAAUUUCAGGAUGAAGAAGAAAAAAGAUUGGGGAAUCGAUAUGAAAGUACAAAACGGUAAAUUAACAAUGAAUUUGAAUUUGAACGUAUAUCGAUUGAUCGAACGAUUAACAGUCGUCGAAAUUCAAAAAAUUGAUGGUAAUGAUGAUUUGUAUAAAGACGUAUGGAGGAAUAAAUUGAAGCCCGUAAUUUUGAGCCAACGCGGAACAGAGCUUCACAUUUCCGACAGCUAAAUUUCAAGCAUUGGGUGAUUUUAUUUUUUUUACCAAGUUACAAAAAAAAAAUCAUGUUUUGUUUUUUUUAUUCAAAUACUAUUGUUGAUGUAAAGUUACAAAAAAACAAAAAACGGUGAGUGGAAGUUCA
This 1139-nucleotide unclassified non-coding RNA is filed under the name Hevea brasiliensis (rubber tree). Lineage: Eukaryota; Viridiplantae; Streptophyta; Magnoliopsida; Malpighiales; Euphorbiaceae. The record is from RNAcentral.